GUGGUAGUAGCUCAGUUGGUUAGAGCAUCGGAUUGUGGUUCCGAGGGUCGCCCGUUCGAGUCGGGUUUACCACCCCA
This 77-nucleotide transfer RNA is filed under the name Opitutales bacterium. Its description in RNAcentral is "tRNA-His". It matches the Rfam family "tRNA". Rfam says of the family: Transfer RNA (tRNA) molecules are approximately 80 nucleotides in length. Lineage: Bacteria; Pseudomonadati; Verrucomicrobiota; Opitutia; Opitutales. The record is from RNAcentral.